UAAUAAUAAAAAUAAAAAUAAUAGGACAAAAAUAAACAACGGGACGGCCACGAACAACGACAAAUAUUUAUUAAUUGUAUUAAUUAUAUUUUUGGAAAUUCAAUUUAUAAUAAUUUAAAUUUUUAUUAUUUUUAUUAUAUUAAGUAAAAAAUUGGGACGCGGCGGCGGAAAAUUGGGGGUAAUAAAAACCUAAACGGUAACGGCGAGCCGCGCAACGGAAUUUUGUUAGGAACGACGGCGCGCGUUUUGGCGAAAUAUAAUAAAAACGGAGGGAAAAGAAAAUUCCGGGCAGGCGUUUAGACGACGAAAAUAAAGGAUAUAAAGAAGUUACGGCGCAAUUGUUCGAAACGGUUAUAAAAGCCAAAACGGGGUCGAAAAAUGGGGGUAAAAAUACCGCAAAAAAGGACGUACGUAAAUUAAACGGGGCGGUAAAAAAAUAAGCAAAUACCGUAUUAAACGGGGUUCGGAACGCGUAUAAAUAACGGUAAUAAAAACAAAAAUAACGACGUUAAUAUCGCGUUGGACUUUUAACUAUUAUUAAUAACGUUCGUUAUUGCGUUUUUAAUUAAAUUAAUUAACGCCCACCAAAUUACGGGUCGGAAAAGAAUAAAUAUUUAUUUCCAUAUAUUUUAAAUUUUGGACAAAAUCGAUGAUAAAUUAUUAAGCAGUUUUAUUACCGCCGUUAGAAUAUAUUAAAAAUAAAACGUUAAAGCCGUGAAAAAUUAAAAAUCGCGUUAAAACCUCCUUAUUCCGAAACCUAUUAUAUUUACGUAUAUAUACGAUAUAAGUAAAAUUUAAUUCGGCGGUUAUUUUGGUAUUAUAUUUAAUUUUAAUAAUUUUAUUAUUAACGUAACGUAUCGUUAAUAUUUUGGGGAAAAUAAUAUAACGGUCGUUAAGUAUAAUAUGUUAUAAAUCGUAUAAUCGACGACGUAAAAAGAUUUCCGGGUAUAUAAUUUUUGGUCGUAAUUGCAAAACGAUUCUUUAUAUAUAUUAUACCGAUUACAAACCGUUUCGGCGAAAUGGGGGCGAUAAGCCAAAAUAUUAAUAAUUUUGGAAAAUUUAAUGUAAAAGAAAUAAACCGGAAUAUAUUAUCUAAACGCGGCGUUAUUUUCGUCGUCGAAAUUAUUUUCGAAUUCGUGCGAACCGGUAACGCGACGGAUGCGUUAUAAUUACGGCUAAUAAAAUGAUAAAUCCAGGGCGGCGCCAAAUUAAUUUAUUAUGGAGGUUUCAAAAUUUUUAAUAAAAAUAAUAACGGUAUUGUAAAAGGUAAUAGGGUUAUUUUGGCUAAAAUUAAAUAACGACGGGAAUAAAAACAAAUAUUCCGACCGGGUAAUUGAAACUCGGGUUAAAAAUAAAUAAUAAUAUAAUAAUAACGGAAAAAGAAACGUAAUCGGGGUACGGAUAAAUUAAUUAAAUAAGUAAAAAUACGGCGAAAAUGCGAUUAAAGAGAUAAUUACGUUAACGAAAAAGAAAUUAUAAAAAAGGAAAAAGCAAUUU
Molecule: small RNA, 1497 nt
Filed under: Pyricularia oryzae
Lineage: Eukaryota; Fungi; Ascomycota; Sordariomycetes; Magnaporthales; Pyriculariaceae
Description: Magnaporthe oryzae sRNA M_BR32_EuGene_00147801
Source: RNAcentral